This is a small nuclear RNA of Oryctolagus cuniculus (rabbit), 116 nucleotides long. Its record names the gene U2. It matches the Rfam family "U2 spliceosomal RNA". From Rfam's summary of the family: U2 is a small nuclear RNA (snRNA) component of the spliceosome (involved in pre-mRNA splicing). Complementary binding between U2 snRNA (in an area lying towards the 5' end but 3' to hairpin I) and the branchpoint sequence (BPS) of the intron results the bulging out of an unpaired adenosine, on the BPS, which initiates a nucleophilic attack at the intronic 5' splice site, thus starting the first of two transesterification reactions that mediate splicing. The record is from Ensembl. NCBI's taxonomy places the organism in Eukaryota, Metazoa, Chordata, Mammalia, Lagomorpha, Leporidae.
AUCGCUUCUCGGCCUUUUGGAUAAGAUCAAGUGCAGUAUCUGUUCUUAUCAGUUUAAUAAAGGAAACAAAUAACUCGUUAAGUUCCUUCAAAUAAACUUAUUGGACACAAAUCAUA